This 673-nucleotide ribosomal RNA is filed under the name uncultured bacterium. RNAcentral's name for it is "bacterial SSU rRNA". It matches the Rfam family "Bacterial small subunit ribosomal RNA", at positions 14 to 731 of the family's 1533-position model. The record is from RNAcentral.
UGAUCAUGGCUCAGAACGAACGCUGGCGGCAGUGCUUAACACAUGCAAGUCGAACGCAUCCUUCGGGAUGAGUGGCAGACGGGUGAGUAACGCGUGGGAACGUACCUUUCGGUUCGGAAUAACCCAGGGAAACUUGGGCUAAUACCGGAUACGCCGGAAACGGGAAAGAUUUAUUGCCGAAAGAUCGGCCCGCGUCGGAUUAGCUAGUUGGUGGGGUAAUGGCCCACCAAGGCGACGAUCCGUAGCUGGUCUGAGAGGAUGAUCAGCCACACUGGGACUGAGACACGGCCCAGACUCCUACGGGAGGCAGCAGUGGGGAAUAUUGGACAAUGGGCGAAAGCCUGAUCCAGCCAUGCCGCGUGAGUGAAGAAGGCCUUAGGGUUGUAAAGCUCUUUCAGCGGGGACGAUAAUGACGGUACCCGCAGAAGAAGCCCCGGCUAACUUCGUGCCAGCAGCCGCGGUAAUACGAAGGGGGCUAGCGUUGUUCGGAUUUACUGGGCGUAAAGCGCGCGUAGGCGGACAUUUAAGUCAGGGGUGAAAUCCCAGGGCUCAACCCUGGAACUGCCUUUGAUACUGAACGUCUGGAGUUCGGGAGAGGUGAGUGGAAUUCCGAGUGUACGAGGUGAAAUUCGUAGAUAUUCGGAGGAACACCAGAAGCGAAGGCGGCUCACUG